GACAGUGGUGCCAAGCGUUAGGCGGAAUCACUGGGCUUAAAGCGUGUGUAGGCGGAUGUCUAAGUACCUUGUGAAAUCCCACGGCUCAACCGUGGAACUGCUUGGUAUACUGGAUGUCUUGAGCCAUCUAGGGGCUACCGGAACAAAUGGUGGAGCGGUGAAAUGCGUAGAUAUCAUUUGGAACGCCAAUGGUGAAAACAGGUAGCUGGGGAUGUGCUGACGCUGAGACACGAAAGCCAGGGGAGCGAACGGG
RNAcentral lists this ribosomal RNA (253 nucleotides) under uncultured bacterium. Its description in RNAcentral is "partial 16S ribosomal RNA". It matches the Rfam family "Bacterial small subunit ribosomal RNA", at positions 524 to 776 of the family's 1533-position model. The record is from RNAcentral.